CUAAGACCUUCAUUAGUUCCAGGAUCUUCUGCACUGGAUCUUGUAAAAAAGAAGUUGAUGGAUUUUGGUACUCCGCUUGCUGUUUCUUCACCAGCCCCAGCCUCGUCAGGAGUAAUAUCAUCUGAAGUAAAUGGAUCAAAAGCACUUGAAUCUACAACCAGAAUUCCACAAAAAGAAAAUAGCAAAGAGAAGUCAAAAGAAG
Molecule: unclassified non-coding RNA, 202 nt
Filed under: Hevea brasiliensis (rubber tree)
Lineage: Eukaryota; Viridiplantae; Streptophyta; Magnoliopsida; Malpighiales; Euphorbiaceae
Source: RNAcentral